This 274-nucleotide ribosomal RNA is filed under the name uncultured bacterium. Its description in RNAcentral is "partial 16S ribosomal RNA". It matches the Rfam family "Archaeal small subunit ribosomal RNA", at positions 473 to 747 of the family's 1478-position model. The record is from RNAcentral.
AAACCAGCACCUCAAGUGGUCAGGAUGAUUAUUGGGCCUAAAGCAUCCGUAGCCUGCUCUGUAAGUUUUCGGUUAAAUCUGUACGCUCAACGUACAGGCUGCCGGGAAUACUGCAGAGCUAGGGAGUGGGAGAGGUAGACGGUACUCGGGAGGAAGUGGUAAAAUGCUUUGAUCUCUCGAUGACCACCUGUGGCGAAGGCGGUCUACCAGAUCACGUCCGACGGUGAGGGAUGAAAGCUGGGGGAGCAAACCGGAUUAGAAACCCGAGUAGUCC